GACGAACGCUGGCGGCGUGCUUAACACAUGCCAGUCGAACGGAAAGGCCCUGCUUUUGUGGGGUGCUCGAGUGGCGAACGGGUGAGUAACACGUGAGUAACCUGCCCUUGACUUUGGGAUAACUUCAGGAAACUGGGGCUAAUACCGGAUAGGAGCUCCUGCUGCAUGGUGGGGGUUGGAAAGUUUCGGCGGUUGGGGAUGGACUCGCGGCUUAUCAGCUUGUUGGUGGGGUAGUGGCUUACCAAGGCUUUGACGGGUAGCCGGCCUGAGAGGGUGACCGGCCACAUUGGGACUGAGAUACGGCCCAGACUCCUACGGGAGGCAGCAGUGGGGAAUAUUGCACAAUGGGCGGAAGCCUGAUGCAGCAACGCCGCGUGCGGGAUGACGGCCUUCGGGUUGUAAACCGCUUUCGCCUGUGACGAAGCGUGAGUGACGGUAAUGGGUAAAGAAGCACCGGCUAACAACGUG
RNAcentral lists this ribosomal RNA (468 nucleotides) under uncultured bacterium. RNAcentral's name for it is "partial 16S ribosomal RNA". It matches the Rfam family "Bacterial small subunit ribosomal RNA", at positions 28 to 507 of the family's 1533-position model. The record is from RNAcentral.